AUUGAUUAUGACGUACUUGUACUGAUUGAGAUUUUAACACGAAGUGAGUGGCGAACGGGUGAGUAACACGUGGGUAACCUGCCCAGAAGUAGGGGAUAACACCUGGAAACAGAUGCUAAUACCGUAUAACAGAGAAAACCGCAUGGUUUUCUUUUAAAAGAUGGCUCUGCUAUCACUUCUGGAUGGACCCGCGGCGUAUUAGCUAGUUGGUGAGGUAAAGGCUCACCAAGGCAGUGAUACGUAGCCGACCUGAGAGGGUAAUCGGCCACAUUGGGACUGAGACACGGCCCAGACUCCUACGGGAGGCAGCAGUAGGGAAUCUUCCACAAUGGACGCAAGUCUGAUGGAGCAACGCCGCGUGAGUGAAGAAGGGUUUCGGCUCGUAAAGCUCUGUUGUUAAAGAAGAACGUGGGUAAGAGUAACUGUUUACCCAGUGACGGUAUUUAACCAGAAAGCCACGGCUAACUACGUGCCAGCAGCCGCGGUAAUACGUAGGUGGCAAGCGUUAUCCGGAUUUAUUGGGCGUAAAGCGAGCGCAGGCGGUCUUUUAAGUCUAAUGUGAAAGCCUUCGGCUCAACCGAAGAAGUGCAUUGGAAACUGGGAGACUUGAGUGCAGAAGAGGACAGUGGAACUCCAUGUG
This 640-nucleotide ribosomal RNA is filed under the name Pediococcus pentosaceus. RNAcentral describes it as "bacterial SSU rRNA". It matches the Rfam family "Bacterial small subunit ribosomal RNA", at positions 61 to 675 of the family's 1533-position model. Lineage: Bacteria; Bacillati; Bacillota; Bacilli; Lactobacillales; Lactobacillaceae. The record is from RNAcentral.